AUUAGAUACCCGGGUAGUCCAGGGUGUAAACGCUGCAGACUUGGUGUUGGGGGCCCUUCGGGGGCGUCCAGUGCCGGAGAGAAGUUGUUAAGUCUGCUACUUGGGGAGUACGUCCGCAAGGAUGAAACUUAAAGGAAUUGGCGGGGGAGCACCGCAACGGGAGGAGCGUGCGGUUUAAUUGGAUUCAACACCGGAAAACUCACCAAGGGCGACUGUUACAUGAAGGCCAGGCCGACGACCUUGCCGGAUUUUCAGAGAGGUGGUGCAUGGC
RNAcentral lists this ribosomal RNA (271 nucleotides) under uncultured Methanobrevibacter sp. RNAcentral's name for it is "partial 16S ribosomal RNA". It matches the Rfam family "Archaeal small subunit ribosomal RNA", at positions 728 to 998 of the family's 1478-position model. The record is from RNAcentral. Lineage: Archaea; Methanobacteriati; Methanobacteriota; Methanobacteria; Methanobacteriales; Methanobacteriaceae.